AUUCUGGUGUUGAUGGCACCGGAGAAUGGAGCUCCGGCCAGCCCGAAGGUGAGGAAUGCCCGAACACCCUGGGCCCGAUCUUUAUCUUGAUUGCGAAGACAAUGUUUCCUGACCACUUGUGAA
RNAcentral lists this long non-coding RNA (123 nucleotides) under Carlito syrichta (Philippine tarsier). RNAcentral describes it as "SMAD5 antisense RNA 1 conserved region 3 (ENSTSYG00000027814.1)". It matches the Rfam family "SMAD5 antisense RNA 1 conserved region 3". The record is from RNAcentral. Lineage: Eukaryota; Metazoa; Chordata; Mammalia; Primates; Tarsiidae.